RNAcentral lists this ribosomal RNA (461 nucleotides) under uncultured bacterium. Its description in RNAcentral is "bacterial SSU rRNA". It matches the Rfam family "Bacterial small subunit ribosomal RNA", at positions 29 to 531 of the family's 1533-position model. The record is from RNAcentral.
AACGAACGCUGGCGGCAUGCCUAACACAUGCAAGUCGAACGAAGUCUUCGGACUUAGUGGCGCACGGGUGCGUAACGCGUGGGAAUCUGCCCUUGGGUGCGGAAUAACUUCUCGAAAGGGAUGCUAAUACCGCAUAAUGUCGUAAGACCAAAGAUUUAUCGCCCAAGGAUGAGCCCGCGUAAGAUUAGCUAGUUGGUGGGGUAAAAAGCCUACCAAGGCGACGAUCUUUAGCUGGUCUGAGAGGAUGAUCAGCCACACUGGGACUGAGACACGGCCCAGACUCCUACGGGAGGCAGCAGUGGGGAAUAUUGGACAAUGGGCGAAAGCCUGAUCCAGCAAUGCCGCGUGAGUGAUGAAGGCCCUAGGGUUGUAAAGCUCUUUACCAGGGAUGAUAAUGACAGUACCUGGAGAAUAAGACUCCGGCUAACUCCGUGCCAGCAGCCGCGGUAAAGUGACUACUG